RNAcentral lists this ribosomal RNA (24 nucleotides) under Heterodera koreana. RNAcentral describes it as "partial 28S ribosomal RNA". Lineage: Eukaryota; Metazoa; Nematoda; Chromadorea; Rhabditida; Heteroderidae. The record is from RNAcentral.
UUCGACCUGAACUCAGUCAUGAUU